Molecule: long non-coding RNA, 1249 nt
Organism: Ictalurus punctatus (channel catfish)
Lineage: Eukaryota; Metazoa; Chordata; Actinopteri; Siluriformes; Ictaluridae
Source: Ensembl
CCCUCUUGCUCUCAUCUCCUGGAGGCGAAUCGGCAAACAAAGAGACAGAAAGCAAGGGAGAGAGUGCUGAGAGUAAGAUAAAGAAGGAGACAGAGACUGGAGAACUGUGUGAAGGAAUAAAAGAAGGAAAGGGAGGAAGCGGAGGAAUGGGAGAUGGAGGAGCAGGCCAGGUCCCUAAAAGUUUUAGCUUAAAUGGCACUCUCUCAUCUGAAGCAAAAGAAUUACAUGUGCCAGGGACGGUCCGAACAGCCCCCACGGUAGUGACAAAUGUGGUUAGACCUGUAACCAGUGCCCCCAUUACAAUAGCCAGCAAGCCUGCUGAAAUGGGCAUGCCUCUUGGGGCUCCAUCCCCUGAUGGGAAGUCCAAGCUUCUGAUUGGUGGGGGAGGAGCAGCAGGAAGUGGGGCCAUUGCAGGGUGUGGGUAUUUUUCUGCCUCGUCUCCCAAACCUGUCGGGCAAGGAGGGUUAGUCACAGGUUUAGUACUUGGAGGAGCAUUCCCGAACCCACCCACUGUUCAGCUCAUAACCCCGCCCCAACCCUUGCAAGGCACCACCACUAUUAACGGAGCCUCCAACAACAGCACCAUGCCCCUCCCUCUGCUUCAGCCUCAAUUCCUCCCAGCAGCUUCACUCACCCCCCUACCAAUGGCAAACAAGUCACCCAGGUGCAGUACAUCCUUCCAACUCUACCAGCCACAGCCACCCUAAACAGCCCCUCUUCACAGCAGACCCACCAGUCAGCCGGUGUUCUUGCCCUGCCCACCGCCCUGCCAACACACUUAUCAUUGUCUAAUGGAUUGCAUGCAGGGGCUGGGCCCGGGAUGAGAUAUGCCUCAAUGCCAGCAGUGGGAGGGGUCAGCCCAGGAGGAAGAGCACGGUCUCCAGUCUUACAAAACAAGAUGCUAGUUCCCAUGACAACAGUAAGACCAGGAUCAACACCUCCACAGCCCAUUUCCCUAGUGGCCCAGCCUCUUCCUGUUCAAAAUGGGGUGCAACCUGGAAGUAAGCUCAUUCAGAUUGCCCCAAUGCCAGUGGUCCAAACCAAUGUCCAGCCUGCACGAACGGUACACCCUGCUGCCUCCUUCCCGGUCUCUAUGGCAACAGCAACUGUCAUGACCUCAGGUGGCACAUCUCCUCAGACAGUGUUACUGACUCCAUCUGCUACGAGUUCAAGGACAAGUGUGCAUCUGUCAGCAUCUAGUGAAAGGAAAAACAUCAAUAUAAGUAGGCUGCCAGUAAUAACACACGGG